GACGAACGCUGGCGGCGUGCUUAACACAUGCAAGUCGAACGGUAAGGCCCUUCGGGAUACACGAGUGGCGAACGGGUGAGUAACACGUGGGUGAUCUGCCCUGCACUUCGGGAUAAGCCUGGGAAACUGGGUCUAAUACCGGAUAGGACCCUGGGAUGCAUGUCCUGGGGUGGAAAGCUUUUGCGGUGUGGGAUGGGCCCGCGGCCUAUCAGCUUGUUGGUGGGGUGAUGGCCUACCAAGGCGACGACGGGUAGCCGGCCUGAGAGGGUGACCGGCCACACUGGGACUGAGAUACGGCCCAGACUCCUAGGGGAGGCAGCAGUGGGGAAUAUUGCACAAUGGGCGCAAGCCUGAUGCAGCGACGCCGCGUGAGGGAUGACGGCCUUCGGGUUGUAAACCUCUUUCAGCACCGACGAAGCGCAAGUGACGGUAGGUGCAGAAGAAGGACCGGCCAACUACGUGCCAGCAGCCGCAGUAA
RNAcentral lists this ribosomal RNA (478 nucleotides) under uncultured bacterium. RNAcentral's name for it is "partial 16S ribosomal RNA". It matches the Rfam family "Bacterial small subunit ribosomal RNA", at positions 28 to 523 of the family's 1533-position model. The record is from RNAcentral.